CUUUAUGAAGAAAAUGAGCCUUCACGAUAUAAGAGGCAAUGUCAUGGUCUACGAGAUGAUGAUGUUGAGGAUGAUAUGGAGGUAGAACUUCUUGGAGAUGAUAUCGACUUGGGAUCUUUUGGUGACGUGAACAUUGAUAAUAGAUCAAACAAUCCGAGCUCUAGUGCAAAUGCGAAUGAGAAUGAUGAUGAUGAUUGGCUAAAUUAUCGUCCCUAGGAGAUUUAGG
Non-coding RNA from Camellia sinensis, 226 nucleotides. Lineage: Eukaryota; Viridiplantae; Streptophyta; Magnoliopsida; Ericales; Theaceae. The record is from RefSeq and is a predicted model, not a curated record.